ACAGGGAUUGCCCUAGUAACGGCGAGUGAAGCGGCAACAGCUCAAAUUUGAAAGCUGGCUCCGGCCCGCAUUGUAAUUUGCAGAGGAUGCUUCUGGUGAGGUGCCUUCCGAGUUCCCUGGAACGGGACGCCAUAGAGGGUGAGAGCCCCGUAUGGAUGGACACCAAACCUGUGUGAAGCUCCUUCAACGAGUCGAGUAGUUUGGGAAUGCUGCUCUAAAUGGGAGGUAAAUCUCUUCUAAAGCUAAAUACCGGCCAGAGACCGAUAGCGCACAAGUAGAGUGAUCGAAAGAUGAAAAGCACCUUGAAAAGGGGGUUAAACAGUACGUGAAAUUGUUGAAAGGGAAGCGCUUGUGACCAGACUUGCGCCGGGCAGCUCAUCAGGGGUUCUCCCCUGUGCACUCUGCCCGGCUCAGGCCAGCAUCGGUUCUCGUGGGAGGAUAAGAACGGUUGGAACGUGGCCCCCCUCCGGGGGGGUGUUAUAGCCUACCGUACGAUACUCCCGUGGGGACCGAGGUUCGCGCUCCGCAAGGAUGCUGGCGUAAUGGUCAUCAGCGACCCGUCU
RNAcentral lists this ribosomal RNA (563 nucleotides) under Cytospora sp. RM-2019f. RNAcentral describes it as "partial large subunit ribosomal RNA". It matches the Rfam family "Eukaryotic large subunit ribosomal RNA", at positions 68 to 654 of the family's 3401-position model. Lineage: Eukaryota; Fungi; Ascomycota; Sordariomycetes; Diaporthales; Cytosporaceae. The record is from RNAcentral.